Cyprinus carpio carpio is the source of this 4180-nucleotide long non-coding RNA. The record is from Ensembl. Lineage: Eukaryota; Metazoa; Chordata; Actinopteri; Cypriniformes; Cyprinidae.
CACUUGCAGCGCGGACACUGUCCGUCUUUCACCUAUUUAGCCCGAGCCAUUUUCAUUAGCGCGAGGCUGUCUGCUAGCACAACAGGGACGGUUGUAAUCAGCAGCCAUAAACUGUGAAGUGGGAGAACCUAAACGUGACGUCAAUGCCUAGUAACUGACGCAGCCCUUUAAAAAAAAGAGAGAUAGAGAGAGAGAGAGAUUCUGCAAGCAUUAAUUAUCGUCGUUUGUGUACUGCUCUAAAGACAAAACAUAUUCCGCUCGCAGUGCGAUUGAUUACGAUUGUUUGCGCGCGCGGCUCCGUCUGUGUGUGUCUCUGUGUGAGUGUGUGCGUGCGUGCGUAUGUUUUUUAUGAGCAGCGAAUCCGUCCCGAGUUUCCAAGCUAAAGUUGCAUGGAGACACGCCGCGUAAGACGCGUAUAAUAAAGAGGAUGGUGAGCAACAUAAAGGAGCGAGGAGAGCGAGAACAACUUGUGCUGAGAAAGCGAACCUUUAAGAAAUAUUUAGCCCAUAAGAGAGAGGGUCACUGAAGCAGUUCGUUUGAAAAAAAAAAAAAAGAAGAAAUUCACUGCAGCGAUGCAUCGGAGGCGAGUCAGAUGGAGUUGGCGAGGCAAAAUUAAUGUACAUUACAUGCACUCCACGUAACGCUCCUGAGCGAUGUCUUUGUGAGUGUUUUUUUUUUUCUUACUGGGCGCUAAAAAUAGCAUCAGUGUUUGAUCUUGGUCCAGAAAUAGGCAGAGGGUAUCACUUGUAUAAAAAGGACUGCGAUUCUGAGAAAACUUGGACAUGUUGCUAAGGAUAGAUAUGAAUCAAGGGCAGUAUUUGAUUUUCAUCUUGCUUGUUGUUUUUGUCACGUAUGAUGGUUUUAUACUCAUGUCUGUGUUUUCCCUGCUUUCAGCCUAGGGCUUCCUGCACUGACCAGGAAUCUCGCGAAUGGUAAAUAAGUGAAAUCCACAUCCAAACUCCUUUGUCUGACGGCGCUGUUGAGUCGUUUUUUGCCUCUUCGCUACAGCUGAGAGUGUGAAUGGAAACCGAUAACACUAGAAGAGUGAGGGGACAUAUCUCUCAAAAUAUGUGAAGAGGAAAAUGGGCUAAUAAAUAUAGGUGGAAGACGCCGCGCCAAAAGGAAAAUCACCAGCAACAGCCGACGAGGGAAGCCCUGGUGUGGCGUCAAGGGGUUCCGUGCAUCCAAAAUCGCCCUUAAAUGGUCAGCCCUGUUUUGGCCAUUACCCUUGAAAGGGAUGCCACUCGGCACACGUUCUCAUAAUAAGCUUAAGGGUUUUUUGUUUGUUUGUUUUUGUUUGUUUGUUUUUUUGUGCAGUGUUCCCGCGUGCGUUGUUUGAACACUUCCAUCAGAUCGAGACUGCACGAGACUGUGUAGCUAUAGGCGGAUUCACAUGGAUUACUCUUCCGCCCACGUCAUUUUCAUUAUACAGUACUGCAAUCGACAGUUUUCUAUUGCAGUGGACUAUAAUAUUGGUCUUGUGCCAAAACUAACGCGUUUGUGCAGUUGCGCAAAACAAUCACGUUGUGAUCGCCAGUGUUGUUUUAAUCAAAGCAUCUCUUAAUAAACGUCUAACUUCAAUCCUGCAGCGUGCGCGAGUGCCUUAAGCGUUAGCAGACAGUAUUUUUCGAAUUGUUUCAGAGGGAUUAAAUGGUCAUGUAUAUGUAUUCAACAUCAAAAAUUGCAUGUGAGUUCGCUUAAAUACUUAAAACCGUACAUGUCAGAGUAGAGAGUCCAGGAAUGACCGCUGAUCUUUGCAGAAACAAAACUCAUUACCUUGACCUUUUCAAAGACACUGUGGCUCUCUAUACACCUUUCCCAGACAUAGCAAGAUCUUCUUAAGUCAAUGCUGGCGUUGUAAUUUUUGUCGAAACACGGUUUUAUCCGAGUCGUGACUGCUAUAGUGAGUAAUAUGUGCGCGUUGGCUGCGUCAGGAGAUGCAGUCGCUGUGCGGUGCAGACAGAAGGGGAGAAUCGUGACUGACUGGAGACGUCCGCAAAUGAUGCGACCACCAAAUAAAAUCCUCAUAAUGGUGGCAUCUGGGGUUGAAUUUAUUUUUGUUUUUAGAUUUUUACACCUGUUACAUCUCAAGCCAUAUCUCUUUUGCCUAGCCACCUCAACCUCCCCUUGCACCACGAAGGCGCAAGAAGAAUAUCAGUGAUUGAGGGGAAGGGAGGGGGGAGAUCUUUGGAUCGGGAUGAAUUUAGACUGGGGGGAGGGAGGGGGUCCAGAUAUAGACAGUGACCCUCCCACUUCGUAUAGUUCCUUGCAUAGUUCCAAGAAGAGCCACUCUUUAACAAUUUUGACAAAUGAUCGCAUGGAUCCAAGAAAAGAACUUCACGGGGCAGGACAGAACUUGAGGCAUCCACCGUGUCAAGUACAGAGGGUGAAUGAACGCUCGACUCACAGAACGAUCCCAGACGGUGUUGCUCGUGACAAAAUCUGCUGAUGAUUGGAGGUCUAUGGAAAAGUGAGAUGUGAAGCGAACUGGCUGUAUUCCUCAUGGAAGCAGAGGAAAGGCUGACAGGCAUGGAAGAUGAUGGAAGAAAAAGGAGGGGUUUACCAAUAAAUAAGGAUACAAAUAUGGGAAAACGUUACCUUGUAUCCUGCACACAAGAUCAACGUCGAACCAACGUCUGUUAGACUGCUGUACACCUGUAAAUGGAUAUUAAGCAAGUUGAUUACUUUGUAGGAACAACAUAACAUCGUCAGGUAUUUGCAAUAUCUGUCUGUAAACUACCUGGGUUUAAUAAAUGAGCCGGACUUGCUUACGUGUCACGUGCACACGUGAGACUCAUGAGCUGCGAGACGUAAGGAAAUAUGACAAUGAUGUAGUACGUAUUUGAGCUUAAAAAAUGUUUACUUGCACAUAAAACCAUGUAUAGAUACAUUUGUUGUAAUUAUUUACCUUAAUUAGUGAAAUUGUGUAGACGAGAUGCACAUGAACGCUUGUGUUGAGUCGUGUUGCUUUAGUUCUCAAAGACAUGAAGGCAAACACAUACUGAUUUAAUCUUAUUUGUUCUAAUUAAAUCAUAGCCUAUAUGUAGCUUCAAAUGGAUUUGUUGUGACUGUGAUAAUAAGAACUUGUGCGUAACGCGAGCGUCUGCAGACUUGUGUGAAAAUUACAGGCGCGAGUUUUAGCUUGUGGUGCUUUAUAAUUGUUAGGGUUACAUAUUCGUGAGAUCUUAAUAGCUUGUUUAACAUGUUGAAUGGAGCUGCAGACGGAGAGUUGGAGCUGUCAGGCGUUUUCUGUGCACGCUCUGCUGCUGCUGACGUAUCACUCCCACGGCCCAAGUGAGUUUAGGACUCAAAUAAUGCUGUGUUCUAUUAGUUCUUUAGCUAAAUAUGUUUAUUAUAUCGUAUAUGUGUAAUAAGGUUUCAUAACUAGUGUUUAGGGAGCAUUUUGAACACAGUAAAUGUGAAAUAUGACUUGUUGGGACUGGGAGUUAUCAAAGGGUCAAAUGGGUUGGGUCCUGCGGGGGGGCGGGGGGGGGGGGUAUGAUGUCGAAAUUAUAUGUUUUAAAGUUUGUCUAAGCAAAAGAUAAUUAAGUAAAAUAUCUAUAUUUUGCAUCAGUUAUUAUUUUGUAGUAUAUAAAUUACAAAAAAAUAAAUAUAAUAACUGAUAAUGCACUAUGUAGCCUAGCUAUCGGAUUGCUUGUGCCUUACGUAACUUUUAUUUUUAUUGCUUCAUAAUUAUAGUAUUUUCUGCUUUGCUGUUACUGUAUAUCAUACAACCCAAAACGUGCUUAACAGUUUGAGCUGAACUGAGUAAUUUGAGUAAAGUGUGGUUGCUGCAGUGUGCACGACGUGAGAGCGUAACGUGCGAGUUCUGCAUUUCUGAGUAUUUGAAUGACAUUUCUGUAUAGUGCACAGAGAAAAAUAUGCUGCAUUAACUAUUCGACCCUGACUAAUUGUUUAGCUAUUUCAUUACAUGAAACAAGAUGUGCAUGUGGUGUGAGAAAUAUGUGAUUUGAUUAUGUUGCAAAAUCUAAAAGCUGGAAGUUUGUCGUUCAGGUGACAAAGAAAAAAAAAAUGACUCACGUAUUUUGUAAUCAAACUGCUGGCUUUCUGUAUUCUCUAUUACAUGUCAGAGAAAAUAAAAUGUUUGGAGUUAUUUUAGAGUCUGCUUGCUUAUUUGUAUGUUUUUAAGUGUGGGGGGAUCUGGAAAAUGAACACUAUG